ACGGAAGGCAGCAGUGGGGAAUAUUGCACAAUGGGGGAAACCCUGAUGCAGCAACGCCGCGUGAGUGAAGAAGUAUUUCGGAUUGUAAACCUCUGUCAACAGGGACGAAAAUGACGGUACCUGUGAAGGAAGCUCCGGCUAACUACGUGCCAGCAGCCGCGGUAAUACGUAGGGAGCAAGCGUUAUCCGGAAUUACUGGGUGUAAAGGGAGUGUAGGCGGGACUGUAAGUCAGAUGUGAAAUAUGCCGGCUCAACUGGCAGACUGCAUUUGAAACUGCGGUUCUUGAGUGAAGUAGAGGUAAGCGGAAUUCCUAGUGUAGCGGUGAAAUGCGUAGAUAUUAGGAGGAACACCGGUGGCGAAGGCGGCUUUCUGGACGAUAACUGACGCUGAGGCGCGAAAGUGUGGGGAGCAAACAGGAUUAGAUACCCUGGUA
This 434-nucleotide ribosomal RNA is filed under the name uncultured Clostridium sp. RNAcentral describes it as "partial 16S ribosomal RNA". It matches the Rfam family "Bacterial small subunit ribosomal RNA", at positions 341 to 792 of the family's 1533-position model. Lineage: Bacteria; Bacillati; Bacillota; Clostridia; Eubacteriales; Clostridiaceae. The record is from RNAcentral.